Molecule: ribosomal RNA, 427 nt
Filed under: uncultured prokaryote
Description: bacterial SSU rRNA
Rfam family: Bacterial small subunit ribosomal RNA
Source: RNAcentral
UAGGGAAUAUUGGUCAAUGGGCGCAAGCCUGAUCCAGCCAUGCCGCGUGAGUGAUGAAGGCCUUCGGGUCGUAAAACUCUUUUCUGAGGGAAGAACAUCCUGCGUAGGAAAUGACGCGGGCUUGACGGUACCUUAGGAAUAAGCAACGGCUAACUCCGUGCCAGCAGCCGCGGUAAUACGGAGGUUGCAAGCGUUGUUCGGAAUGACUGGGCGUAAAGGGAGCGCAGGCGGUUGGGAAAGUCCAAAGUGAAAGCCCGGGGCUCAACCCCGGAAGUGCUGUGGAUACUGCCUUACUCGAGUUCGGUAGAGGAAAGCGGAAUUCCAGGUGUAGCGGUGAAAUGCGUAGAUAUCUGGAGGAACACCGGUGGCGAAAGCGGCUUUCUGGCACGAUACUGACGCUGAGGCUCGAAAGCGUGGGGAGCAAACA